ACCCGCUGAACUUAAGCAUAUCAAUAAGCGGAGGAAAAGAAACCAACAGGGAUUGCCCUAGUAACGGCGAGUGAAGCGGCAACAGCUCAAAUUUGAAAUCUGGCGUCUUUGGCGUCCGAGUUGUAAUUUGCAGAGGGCGCUUUGGCAUUGGCAGCGGUCCAAGUUCCUUGGAACAGGACGUCACAGAGGGUGAGAAUCCCGUACGUGGUCGCUAGCCUUUACCGUGUAAAGCCCCUUCGACGAGUCGAGUUGUUUGGGAAUGCAGCUCUAAAUGGGAGGUAAAUUUCUUCUAAAGCUAAAUACUGGCCAGAGACCGAUAGCGCACGAGUAGAGUGAUCGAAAGAUGAAAAGCACUUUGGAAAGAGAGUUAAAAAGCACGUGAAAUUGUUGAAAGGGAAGCGCUUGCAGCCAGACUUGCCUGUAGUUGCUCAUCCGGGUUUUUACCCGGUGCACUCUUCUAUAGGCAGGCCAGCAUCAGUUUGGGCGGUUGGAUAAAGGUCUCUGUCAUGUACCUCUCUUCGGGGAGAACUUAUAGGGGAGACGACAUGCAACCAGCCCGGACUGAGGUCCGCGCAUCUGCUAGGAUGCUGGCGUAAUGGCUGU
RNAcentral lists this ribosomal RNA (603 nucleotides) under uncultured fungus. RNAcentral describes it as "eukaryotic LSU rRNA". It matches the Rfam family "Eukaryotic large subunit ribosomal RNA", at positions 23 to 641 of the family's 3401-position model. The record is from RNAcentral. Lineage: Eukaryota; Fungi.